This 467-nucleotide ribosomal RNA is filed under the name uncultured bacterium. Its description in RNAcentral is "partial 16S ribosomal RNA". It matches the Rfam family "Bacterial small subunit ribosomal RNA", at positions 28 to 507 of the family's 1533-position model. The record is from RNAcentral.
GAUGAACGCUGGCGGCGUGCUUAACGCAUGCAAGUCGAACGGAAAGGCCCAAGCUUGCUUGGGUACUCGAGUGGCGAACGGGUGAGUAACACGUGGGUGAUCUGCCCUGCACUUCGGGAUAAGCCUGGGAAACUGGGUCUAAUACCGGAUAGGACCACUUCUUGGAUGUUGUGGUGGAAAGUUUUUUCGGUGUGGGAUGAGCUCGCGGCCUAUCAGCUUGUUGGUGGGGUAAUGGCCUACCAAGGCGUCGACGGGUAGCCGGCCUGAGAGGGUGUACGGCCACAUUGGGACUGAGAUACGGCCCAGACUCCUACGGGAGGCAGAAGUGGGGAAUAUUGCACAAUGGGCGCAAGCCUGAUGCAGCGACGCCGCGUGGGGGAUGACGGCCUUCGGGUUGUAAACUCCUUUCGCUAGGGACGAAGCGUUUUGUGACGGUACCUGGAGAAGAAGCACCGGCUAACUACGUG